This is a non-coding RNA of Podarcis lilfordi (Lilford's wall lizard), 104 nucleotides long. The record is from the annotation of a GenBank genome assembly. Lineage: Eukaryota; Metazoa; Chordata; Lepidosauria; Squamata; Lacertidae.
GCAAUGCUGGAUGGCUCAGUUGGUUAGACUCUAACCAUCAGCACAUGGUGUUGCUAAUGCCAAGGCUGCAAGUUCGAUCCUUGCAUGGAUAUUCCUGCAUUGCA